Molecule: ribosomal RNA, 207 nt
Filed under: uncultured bacterium
Lineage: Bacteria
Description: partial 16S ribosomal RNA
Rfam family: Bacterial small subunit ribosomal RNA
Source: RNAcentral
CACGUAGGCGGAUUCUUAAGUCAGGGGUGAAAUCCCGAGGCUCAACCUCGGAACUGCCUUUGAUACUGGGGAUCUUGAGUCCGGGAGAGGUGAGUGGAACUGCGAGUGUAGAGGUGAAAUUCGUAGAUAUUCGCAAGAACACCGGUGGCGAAGGCGGCUCACUGGCCCGGUACUGACGCUGAGGUGCGAAAGCGUGGGGAGCAAACA